AUAAUUAAUCGCCAUUAAUAUUCCAUCGACUUUUGAAAAUCCCUCAUGUGAUCUAUUUCAUGCGAUGAGAAUAUGUAUAAAUUGAGAUUGCGAUCGACCAUCCUCAGUCGGAUAAAUCGAGUGAUUCAAAUUAUAACACAAAAAAAAGUUAAAACUAGUUACAUUAUCUUUUUCAAUUUUUAUGUAUUAUUUGGCGGAAGAAACUUUGGUAAUUGGUAAGUAAAGUUCACCUCCUUAAUGUUAAUGAUUUUAAUAUGUUAUUAAGCUCAAAGUUCUAAGGAAUUUUCUAUAUAUAUACAUAUACAUAACUGUGUGCGUAUAUAUAUAAUAUACGUAUAACAGCCAAAGUUCAGCUCUCAAGUGUACGCAAAACUUUUAUGUUCAUUUUACGCUAUACCAGUAUGUUUCAUGAAUUUGUUUGCUAACAGUAUCGAAACAAAUAACAAGCAGAGGACGAGCUAUUCAUGAAUUGUUUUGCCAGCGUGUACGCUCCCAAUAUUUUCUAUUUGAGAAAACAUACUUGUUGCUAUUGCAACUACAAAUAUUUUUACAGUCGACGCUUUUGCCGUGAGUCAUUGGCUAACAUGUAAAAUCGAGAAAAAACAUGGUUUAUUGUGAUGGAAAUGUGGAAAACCGCAAAACCGAUAUAGAAGGGAAAAUAAAGGAAAGGAAGGUAGGGAUAAGUAGAAGCUUGGGGCCAAGUUUAAUUCACUGAAACCGAGCUGCUUGUAUUAUCACAAAACAAAAUUGCCAGUACGUCAUUUCCGUACUCUCGUCCUCGCGAAAAUGGUUUUGCUCGUGAAGAAAAAAACGAAGAGACAGGGAAGAGAGGAAAAAGCAAACGGAGAGCGCUUUUAAAAAGCUGGCGAACCGUGUGUUACCACAACGAGACACGCGGUGCUAUUUGUCGCUUUAAAUUGUGUCGCAACUCGUUUUUGAGAUCUUUGCCAGGGACGCGUUAAAACACGCUGCAAAUAUAUUUCUGGCUUUUCUGGGGUUUAACUGAAAUAUGGCAAAUAACGUUGUAAAACAUAUGUACUUAUGACUUACAGAGUAAUUGAGUGUACAAAAUAUAAUAGCCAGCGAUUUAGGGCUUUAAAAGAUCAAAAGAAAAGAAAAGAAAAGAAGAAAGAUAAUAUGUUGCGGCAGUUUAAGUCGAUCUAAGAAAAUAGAUAACGGGAGGGGAGAAGGGCAAAGCUAGUUAAUUUGGAAAGAAUCCAAGCGUCAAUUUCAAGCAUUUACAGAGAAUCAAGCGGGCUGGUUAAAGUCGUGAGUUGAGCAAUUAUCCCGCGUUAGGUUCAAUCAGAUACUUCUGGCUAGUGCACUUCUUUUACGCUUCUCAUCGCGAUUUUUAACGACUAACGAAGAUGUACGGCAGUCUGACCGUCUACAUGAAAAUGAUCAUGAUUGCGGUCUGUGUACCGCCUGCCCUUCUUUAUGUUCUUCCGUUAAAGACUGAUGCUAUAAACAACAGCUGUGCUGACUUUCAAGGAGAAACCAUUCGACAUAAUCUUACGUUUGAGCCGGGACCUUCGGUUUGCAGUUUCUGCGUCUGCUAUAAUUCGAGGCUGAAGUGGUGCCAGUCGAUCGUAUACGACCCGCCCGUAGAUCUUCCUUGUUGUUACGCCGCCUAAAACAUCUGCACGCCAGCCCGC
Long non-coding RNA from Bombus huntii, 1655 nucleotides. RefSeq lists it as uncharacterized. The transcript is spliced from 4 exons. The record is from RefSeq and is a predicted model, not a curated record. Lineage: Eukaryota; Metazoa; Arthropoda; Insecta; Hymenoptera; Apidae.